AUGGACGCCGGCGGCAGCGGCAGCGGCGCCGACCUGAGGAGCAGCAUCAAGAAGUGGAAGAUCAUCUACCCGGUGUACCUCAACUCCAAGAAGACGGUCGCCGAGGGCCGCCGCAUCGCCGCCGCCAAGGCCUGCCCCGACCCCACCUGCAUCGAGAUCGCCGACAGCUGCGCCUACCUCAAGAUCCCUCGCGCCAUCGAGUUGGAUAAGGCGUAUCCGCGGGAUUUCUUCCAGGUGGGGAGAGUGAGGGUGCAGCUCACCAAUGAUGACGGCUCCCCAGUCAACCCUGCAAUCAGAACAAAGAAGCAGCUAAUGAUCCAAAUAGCAGAGCUGGUCCCCAAGCAUCAUGGGAGGACUAAGAAGCAGGAACCAGUGGCAGGUCCAUCAGUUACAACUACUAACAAGAAAAAUAAGAAGAAGAAGUAG
This 426-nucleotide ribosomal RNA is filed under the name Triticum aestivum (bread wheat). Its description in RNAcentral is "partial small subunit ribosomal RNA". Lineage: Eukaryota; Viridiplantae; Streptophyta; Magnoliopsida; Poales; Poaceae. The record is from RNAcentral.